RNAcentral lists this ribosomal RNA (295 nucleotides) under Microcystis sp. DK103-CI. Its description in RNAcentral is "partial 16S ribosomal RNA". It matches the Rfam family "Bacterial small subunit ribosomal RNA", at positions 324 to 632 of the family's 1533-position model. The record is from RNAcentral. Lineage: Bacteria; Bacillati; Cyanobacteriota; Cyanophyceae; Chroococcales; Microcystaceae.
CGCCAGUCCAGACUCCUACGGGAGGCAGCAGUGGGGAAUUUUCCGCAAUGGGCGAAAGCCUGACGGAGCAACGCCGCGUGAGGGAGGAAGGUCUUUGGAUUGUAAACCUCUUUUCUCAAGGAAGAAGUUUCUGACGGUACUUGAGGAAUCAGCCUUCGGCUAACUCCGUGCCAGCAGCCGCGGUAAUACGGGGGAGGCAAGCGUUAUCCGGAAUUAUUGGGCGUAAAGCGUCCGCAGGUGGUCAGCCAAGUCUGCUGUCAAAUCAGGUUGCUUAACGACCUAAAGGCGGUGGAAA